RNAcentral lists this ribosomal RNA (512 nucleotides) under uncultured bacterium. Its description in RNAcentral is "partial 16S ribosomal RNA". It matches the Rfam family "Bacterial small subunit ribosomal RNA", at positions 28 to 507 of the family's 1533-position model. The record is from RNAcentral.
GAUGAACGCUGGCGGCGUGCCUAAUACAUGCAAGUCGAACGAAACUUCUUUAUCAUCGAGCGCCUGCACUCACCGAUAAAGGGUUGAGUAGCGAACGGUUGAGCUACAUGUGGGCAACGUGUCCAAAAGAGGGGGAUUACAUUUGGAAACAGGUGCUAUUCCCGCAUAACCAUAGUUACUGCAAGGUACUUUUGUUAACGCUGGCAAUUCUACCGGUUUUGGAUGGGCCCGUGGCGCAUUAGCUAGUUGGUCGGGUAAAGGCUUACCAAGGCAAUGAUGCGUAGCCGAAUUGAGAGGUUGAUCGGCCACAUUGGAACUGAGACACGGCCCAGACUCCUACGGGAGGAAGCAGUAGGGAAUCUUCCGCAAUGGGCGAAAGCCUGAUGGAGCAACGCCGCGUGAGUGAUGAAGGUCUUCGGAUCGUAAAACCCUGUUGUUAGGGAAGAAAGAGCGUGAGAGUAACUAUUCACGUAUUGACGGUACCUAACCAGAAAGCCACGGCUAACUACGUG